CCUCGCUGUUUGCAAUGUUUGUGCUUCUUGGGUGUACUUUUUCGUAUGGUAGGCCAACGUCAGUUUCGAUUGCCGUAAAAUGAUCGGAGGAAUGUAGCUUCGAUCUCGUAUUGAAGUGUUAUAGUCUCUGGUAGAUGCAGUAAUCGAAACUGAGGAUUGCAACGAAUACCCUUUGGGCUAUCCGUCUGACCUCUGAAAGUUGCUUAGGUGCUGAAAGCGUGCUUACGGCUAUUUAAGUUGACGGUCAACAGGUUAGAACGUGAUUACA
RNAcentral lists this ribosomal RNA (268 nucleotides) under uncultured Funneliformis. Its description in RNAcentral is "partial 28S ribosomal RNA". The record is from RNAcentral. Lineage: Eukaryota; Fungi; Glomeromycota; Glomeromycetes; Glomerales; Glomeraceae.